RNAcentral lists this ribosomal RNA (433 nucleotides) under uncultured bacterium. RNAcentral's name for it is "partial 16S ribosomal RNA". It matches the Rfam family "Bacterial small subunit ribosomal RNA", at positions 29 to 507 of the family's 1533-position model. The record is from RNAcentral.
AACGAACGCUGGCGGCAUGCCUAACACAUGCAAGUCGAACGAGACCUUCGGGUCUAGUGGCGCACGGGUGCGUAACGCGUGGGAACCUGCCCUUAGGUUCGGAAUAACUCCCCGAAAGGGGUGCUAAUACCGGAUAAUGUCUUCCGACCAAAGAUUUAUCGCCUUUGGAUGGGCCCGCGUUGGGUUAGCUUCUUGGUAGGGUAAAAGCGUACCAAGGCGACGAUGCAUAGCUGGUCUGAGAGGAUGAUUAGCCACACUGGGACUGAGACACGGCCCAGACUCCUACGGGAGGCAGCAGUGGGGAAUAUUGGACUGUGGGCGAAAGCCUGAUGCAGCAAUGCCGCGUGAGUGAUGAAGGCCUUAGGGUUGUAAAGCUCUUUUAGCCGGGAUGAUAAUGACAGUACCGGGAGAAUAAGCACCGGCUAACUACGUG